RNAcentral lists this ribosomal RNA (505 nucleotides) under Enoplognatha mordax. Its description in RNAcentral is "SSU rRNA". It matches the Rfam family "Eukaryotic small subunit ribosomal RNA", at positions 653 to 1158 of the family's 1831-position model. Lineage: Eukaryota; Metazoa; Arthropoda; Arachnida; Araneae; Theridiidae. The record is from RNAcentral.
AGCCGGGUGGUCCUCCUACCGGUGGUUACUGCCCGCGCUGAACGAAUCAGCCGGUUUCCUUUGAUGAUCUUCAUCGGUUGUCUUGGGUGACCGGCAAGUUUACUUUGAAAAAAUUAGAGUGCUCAAAGCAUGCGUGACGCAUGAAUAAUGGUGCAUGGAAUAAUGGAAUAGGACCUCGGUUCUAUUUUGUUGGUUUUCGGAACACGAGGUAAUGAUUAAGAGGGACAGACGGGGGCAUUCGUAUUGCGACGCUAGAGGUGAAAUUCUUGGACCGUCGCAAGACGAACUACUGCGAAAGCAUUUGCCAAGAAUGUUUCCAUUAAUCAAGAACGAAAGUUAGAGGUUCGAAGGCGAUCAGAUACCGCCCUAGUUCUAACCAUAAACGAUGCCAGCCAGCGAUCCGGCUGUGUUCCUCAAAUGACACGCCGGGCAGCUUCCGGGAAACCAAAGCUUUUGGGUUCCGGGGGAAGUAUGGUUGCAAAGCUCAAACUUAAAAGAAUUGACG